This 443-nucleotide ribosomal RNA is filed under the name uncultured bacterium. Its description in RNAcentral is "partial 16S ribosomal RNA". It matches the Rfam family "Bacterial small subunit ribosomal RNA", at positions 338 to 795 of the family's 1533-position model. The record is from RNAcentral.
CCUACGGGAGGCAGCAGUGGGGGAUAUUGGACAAUGGGGGAAACCCUGAUCCAGCGACGCCGCGUGAGUGAAGAAGUAUUUCGGUAUGUAAAGCUCUAUCAGCAGGGAAGAAAGAAAUGACGGUACCUGAGUAAGAAGCCCCGGCUAACUACGUGCCAGCAGCCGCGGUAAUACGUAGGGGGCAAGCGUUAUCCGGAUUUACUGGGUGUAAAGGGAGCGUAGACGGCAGCGCAAGUCUGGAGUGAAAUGCCGGGGCCCAACCCCGGAACUGCUCUGGAAACUGUGAAGCUGGAGUGCAGGAGAGGUAAGCGGAAUUCCUGGUGUAGCGGUGAAAUGCGUAGAUAUCAGGAGGAACACCGGCGGCGAAGGCGGCUUACUGGACUGUAACUGACGUUGAGGCUCGAAGGCGUGGGGAGCAAACAGGAUUAGAUACCCGAGUAGUC